CUCUUUGGGAGUUGAGCCUUUAACAACGUUUCCAAUGUAUCCAUCUUCCUUUCCACUUAGGCUCAAGCGCCCUUGGCCUUCUGACUUGCCCUCACUACAUGGUGGGAGAGAUGAUCUUAUGUGGCUUCGAGAUGGAGACAGAGCAAUCCAAUCUUUGAAUUUCCAGGGAUUCUGUAAUCAGACGCUUACCGAGUGCUAUUUCAAAAGCUGGAAAUGUGAGUGGCUG
Zingiber officinale is the source of this 226-nucleotide long non-coding RNA. RefSeq lists it as uncharacterized. The record is from RefSeq and is a predicted model, not a curated record. Lineage: Eukaryota; Viridiplantae; Streptophyta; Magnoliopsida; Zingiberales; Zingiberaceae. The transcript has 2 exons.